RNAcentral lists this ribosomal RNA (629 nucleotides) under uncultured bacterium. Its description in RNAcentral is "bacterial SSU rRNA". It matches the Rfam family "Bacterial small subunit ribosomal RNA", at positions 86 to 711 of the family's 1533-position model. The record is from RNAcentral.
GGCGAGUACCUGACGGACGGGUGAGUAAUGCAUGGGAAUCUGCCCAGUGGUGGGGAAUAACCCGGGGAAACUCGGGCUAAUACCGCAUACGCCCCAUGGGGGAAAGCGGGGGAUCUUCGGACCUCGCGCCAUUGGAUGAGCCCAUGUCAGAUUAGCUUGUUGGUGGGGUAACGGCCUACCAAGGCGACGAUCUGUAGCUGGUCUGAGAGGACGAUCAGCCACACUGGGACUGAGACACGGCCCAGACUCCUACGGGAGGCAGCAGUGGGGAAUAUUGGACAAUGGGCGAAAGCCUGAUCCAGCAAUGCCGCGUGUGUGAAGAAGGCCUGCGGGUUGUAAAGCACUUUCAGCGGGGAGGAAAAACCCGGGGCGAACACCCCCGGGCUUUGACGUGAACCGCAGAAGAAGCACCGGCUAACUCCGUGCCAGCAGCCGCGGUAAUACGGAGGGUGCGAGCGUUAAUCGGAAUUACUGGGCGUAAAGCGCACGUAGGAGGCUGGAUCAGUCAGGUGUGAAAUCCCCGGGCUUAACCUGGGAACCGCAUCUGAUACUGUCCGGCUAGAGUUUGGCAGAAGAUAGCGGAAUUCCGGGUGUAGCGGUGGAAUGCGUAGAUAUCCGGAAGAACACCA